UUACCUGGAUAUACAGAAAUUUGGGCAGAAUCUCGCUAAAACUUAGAGCAGAACUUCUUCCCCUAGGCUCCUUCAGUCUAAGCAGAACGUAGAGAGAAAAAUUACAAGAGAAGAGAAAUGAGAAGUGUUUUAGGGAGGUUCUGAAAUGAAGAAUUGAGGGGCUAUUUAUAGCCUUCAAAAGACAUUAAAAUAUAAGGAAAUUAGGUUUAGUGGAUGAGUUAGUGGUGGUAGUGGAGGAGUUAGUGGUGAUGGUGGAUGGUUAGUGGAGUUUAGUGGACACGUCCUUUGGCACUCCCAUUUUGACCUUCUAGACGACUGAAUUUGGUCACGAGGUCUUCAUGAAAGUUGUAGCUUAGGAUGUUAUCUUUUCAAUCGUUUUGGAAUCACCGAAAAAGGAGAUCUAUAACUCCAGAUAUGACUGUUUUAGUGAACAGGGGUCAGGCUGCCAGCGUGAGUUAAAUAUGUUGCGGUUUUUAGAAUAUUCAACAUGGUAGAUGAAGGAAUUUGAAAAUGGUUUCUUCAUAAAAGUUAUAGUAUUUUAUCUUAGCUUUCCAUUGAUAUAAAGUUUGUAUCAUUUGGACAACCACAGACCGAGUUAUGCCCCAAAAACCGAGGCUUGCCAGUCAGCCCAGCGAAAACGAUUUUAACAAAAAGAAAGUUUACAACUAUCUAAUUAAGCCCAACAAUAUACAUAUGUUUCUAAAGCCUAUAAUUAAGCAUAAAUGGAGUGUGAAUUAGCUACAUUUGGAAUAAAAGAUAACUAUCAAAUAUAAUAAUAAUAACCAUUUUGGAAAACUGGGGUGUUACAAUUACACCAGAAAGGCCAUAGCCAGGCUAACAUAUUUAAAAAGAACACUUGCCCAGUUAGAAGACGAGGUAGCUCCAUGUGAGGCUCAGAUGGAAAGUUG
Cajanus cajan (pigeon pea) is the source of this 908-nucleotide non-coding RNA. Lineage: Eukaryota; Viridiplantae; Streptophyta; Magnoliopsida; Fabales; Fabaceae. The record is from RefSeq and is a predicted model, not a curated record.